GUGGGGAAUAUUGCACAAUGGGCGAAAGCCUGAUGCAGCAACGCCGCGUGAGGGACGACGGCCUUCGGGUUGUAAACCUCUUUUAGUAGGGAAGAAGCGAAAGUGACGGUACCCGCAGAAAAAGCACCGGCUAACUACGUGCCAGCAGCCGCGGUAAUACGUAGGGUGCAAGCGUUAUCCGGAAUUAUUGGGCGUAAAGAGCUCGUAGGCGGUCUGUCGCGUCUGCUGUGAAAACUGGAGGCUCAACCUCCAGCCUGCAGUGGGUACGGGCAGACUAGAGUGCGGUAGGGGAGAUUGGAAUUCCUGGUGUAGCGGUGGAAUGCGCAGAUAUCAGGAGGAACACCGAUGGCGAAGGCAGAUCUCUGGGCCGUAACUGACGCUGAGGAGCGAAAGCGUGGGGAGCGAACAGGAUUAGAUACCCCGGUAGUCC
RNAcentral lists this ribosomal RNA (430 nucleotides) under uncultured bacterium. RNAcentral describes it as "bacterial SSU rRNA". It matches the Rfam family "Bacterial small subunit ribosomal RNA", at positions 354 to 796 of the family's 1533-position model. The record is from RNAcentral.